AUGUCCAUGAGGGAGGUGGAUGAGCAAAUGUUCAACAUUCCACUGGAGCGGAACCCCACUGCACUCCAGCCUGGACAACAGCGAGACUCUGUCUUAAAAAAGAAAAGAAAAAAUCCAUGGAGUUCUAUAGCUUGUUUUCUUACUUGGCAUCUACUGUACUGUUUUGUUUUAUUAUCAUACCAGCAGCAUACUACAAAAACAGCACAAUAUAUAUACCCAUCAUUUUUUCCCGUUAAAAAAAAAAGUGAGGGUCACGCCAAAAUUAUGGCCACGUCUGGUGUUGUAGCUGUUAGUUAAUUAUUCGGCACACACACAUCCCUAGGUUAAUACCUGUCAUAACAAGCAACUGUACCUCUUAAGUCCAUCGUAGUUAGAAGGCGCUGUUUUGAAUUUUUAGAUUUGCUUUUACAAGAAUGGCAGACGCAUUCACUAGAACGACACAUAUCAGUAUUAGCGGAAACAGUAAAGAAAGGAAUACACGAUGCUGAUUCUGAAGCAAGAAUGGAAGCCAGAAAAUGUUACUGGGGUUUUCACAGUCACUUCAGCGGAGAAGCAGAGCACUUAUACCACACCUUGGAGUCCUCCUACCAAAAAGCCCUGCAGUCCCACCUGAAGAACUCAAACAGCAUCGUGUCUCUGCCUCAGUCUGAUCGCUCGUCUUCCAGCUCUCGAGAGUCUAAAUCGGCCGCUGUCUGCCAAAAGAAGUCCUACUGGAAGUACCACGUCUAGACGUUCUACAGUUAGUACCAAAUCUGUGUCAACGACUGGGUCCCUUCAGCGAUCUCGAAGUGACAUUGAUGUGAACGCAGCAGCCAGUGCCAAAUCCAAAGUCUCCUCAUCUUCGGGAACGAUGCCUUUCAGCUCCGCAGCGGCUUUGCCUCCAGGCUCAUAUGCAUCCUUAGGUCGGAUCCGCACAAGACAGCAAAGCUCUGGGAGUGCCACCAACGUCGCCUCUACACCUUCUGAUAACUGGGCCACAGUCGCGCUAAAGUGGUUUCACAGUCCCAGCGAUCCAGAUCUGCUAAUCCUGCUGGUGCCGGCAGCCGGUCAAGUUCUCCAGGAAAAUUGUUGGGAAGUAGUUAUGGUGGACUUGCUGGGGGCUCCUCACAAGGCCCGCCUGUGACACCAUCUUCAGAAAAGCGAAGCAAGAUUCCCAGGAGCCAGGGAUGUAGCUGGGAAACAAGUCCAAACCGAAUAGGAUUAGAUUGGUUUGGGCUUGGCCAGCCAGGAAGAAUACCUGGUUCUGUGAAUGCCAUGAGAGUUUUGAGCACAAGUACAGAUCUUGAAGCUGCUGUUGCUGAUGCUUUGCUGUUAGGAGACUCCAGGAGCAAGAAGAAGCCUGUGAGGAGGAGGUAUGAGCCGUAUGGGAUGUAUUCUGACGAUGAUGCCAACAGUGAUGCCUCAAGUGUUUGCCCUGAGCACUCGUAUGGCUCCAGGAAUGGUGGCAUUCCCCAUUAUCUGCAGCAGACCGAGGAUGUAGCAGCAGUUCUCAACCACUGUGCUAAUUCAAACUGGUCAGAUAGGAAAGAAGGGCUUCUGAGCCUGCAGAACCUACUGAAGAGCCAAAGAACACUGAGUCGAAUUGAACUGAAAAGAUUGUGUGAGAUUUUCACCCGGAUGUUUGCUGAUCCUCAUAGCAAGAGUUUUCAGUAUGUUUUUGGAGACUCUUGUGGAUUUUAUAAUAAUUCAUAAGGAUGACUUGCAAGACUGGCUUUUUGUUCUUCUCACACAAUUACUUAAGAAAAUGGGAGCAGAUUUACUUGGAUCUAUGCAAGCAAAAGUCCAAAAGGCUCUAGAUGUCACCAGAGACUCCUUUCCAUUUGAUCAACAAUUUAACAUUUUGAUGAGAUUUAUUGUGGAUCAAACUCAAACUCCAAACCUCAAGGUCAAAGUUGCAAUCCUGAAAUAUAUUGAGUCUCUGGCCAGACAGAUGGAUCCAACAGAUUUUGUAAACUCUAGUGAGACAAGGGUUGCUGUUUCUAGAAUCGUAACCUGGACAACAGAACCAAAGAGUUCAGACGUGAGAAAGGCAGCACAAAUUGUGCUAAUCUCUCUGUCUGAAUUGAAUACUCCUGAAUUUACCAUGUUACUUGGUGCCUUGCCAAAAACAUUCCAGGAUGGUGCCACCAAACUCCUGCAUAACCACCUCAAGAAUUCCAGUAACAUCAGUGUGAGCUCUCCAAGCAAUACGAUUGGCCAGACACCCUCCCGACACACCAGCAGCAGGACCAGCCCCCUGGCCUCACCCACCAACUGUUCCCAUGGGGGUCUGUCUCCAAGCAUGCUGGACUAUGAUACAGAGAACCUGAAUGAACUCUGAAGAAAUCUAUAGUUCUCUACUUGGAGUUACAGAAGCCAUUGAAAAGUUUAGUUUCGAAGCCAAGAGGAUCUGAAUGAGCCAAUUAAACGAGAUGGCAAAAAGGAGUGUGAUAUUGUGUCCCGCGAUGGGGGCGCUGCCUCUCCUGCCACCAAGGGCCCAGCGGGGGGCAGCGAGGUAGAAGGAGGCCGGACAGCUCUGGAUAACAAGACCUCGCUACUCAGCACCCAGCCUCCACGUGCCUUCCCGGGGCCAUGGGCGCGAGAGUACAACCCGUACCCCUACUCAGAUGCCAUCAACUCCUACGACAAGACCGCCCUGAAGGGGGCUGUGUUCGAUGACGACAUGGAGCAGCUUCGAGAUGUGCCCAUCGACCAUUCUGACCUGGUGGCUGACCUUCUGAAGAGCUGUCCAACCACAACGAGCGGGUGGAGGAACGGAAAGGAGCCCUGCUGGAGCUGCUCAAAAUCACACGGGAAGACAGCCUUGGCGUCUGGGAGCACUUCAAGACCAUUCUGCUCCUGCUGCUGGAGACCCUUGGAGACAAAGACCAUUCAAUUCGAGCACUGGCAUUGAGAGUUUUGAGGGAAAUUCUGAGAAAUCAACCAGCAAGAUUUAAAAACUACGCUGAGCUGACAAUUAUGAAGACUCUGGAAGCCCACAAAGACUCCCAUAAGGAGGUGGUGAGAGCGGCUGAGGAGGCUGCGUCCACACUGGCCAGUUCCAUCCACCCGGAGCAGUGCAUCAAGGUGCUCUGCCCCAUCAUCGAGACGGCUGACUAUCCCAUCAACCUUGCUGCCAUCAAGAUGCAGACCAAAGUCGUCGAGAGGAUCGCCAAGGAGUCGUUGCUGCAGCUCCUCGCCGACAUCAUCCCAGGCUUGCUGCAGGGUUAUGACAACACCAAAAGUAGUGUGCGUAAGGCCAGCGUGUUUUGCUUAGUGGCGAUUUAUUCCGUAAUUGGAGAAGACCUGAAACCUCACCUCGCACAGCUCACAGGGAGCAAGAUGAAGCUACUAAACUUAUACAUAAAGAGGGCCCAGACCAACAACAGCAACAGCAGCUCCUCCUCCGAUGUCUCCACGCCCAGCUAAUAGCAGCGCCUCAC
This is an RNA transcript of Cebus imitator (Panamanian white-faced capuchin), 3422 nucleotides long. It is a transcript of the gene named CLIP-associating protein 1-like, with no coding region annotated. The record is from RefSeq and is a predicted model, not a curated record. The transcript is spliced from 4 exons. Lineage: Eukaryota; Metazoa; Chordata; Mammalia; Primates; Cebidae.